UGCAGUCGAACGAUGAUCCGGUGCUUGCACCGGGGAUUAGUGGCGAACGGGUGAGUAACACGUGAGUAACCUGCCCUUAACUCUGGGAUAAGCCUGGGAAACUGGGUCUAAUACCGGAUAUGACUCCUCAUCGCAUGGUGGGGGGUGGAAAGCUUUUUGUGGUUUUGGAUGGACUCGCGGCCUAUCAGCUUGUUGGUGAGGUAAUGGCUCACCAAGGCGACGACGGGUAGCCGGCCUGAGAGGGUGACCGGCCACACUGGGACUGAGACACGGCCCAGACUCCUACGGGAGGCAGCAGUGGGGAAUAUUGCACAAUGGGCGCAAGCCUGAUGCAGCGACGCCGCGUGAGGGAUGACGGCCUUCGGGUUGUAAACCUCUUUCAGUAGGGAAGAAGCGAAAGUGACGGUACCUGCAGAAGAAGCGCCGGCUAACUACGUGCCAGCAGCCGCGGUAAUACGUAGGGCGCAAGCGUUAUCCGGAAUUAUUGGGCGUAAAGAGCUCGUAGGCGGUUUGUCGCGUCUGCCGUGAAAGUCCGGGGCUCAACUCCGGAUCUGCGGUGGGUACGGGCAGACUAGAGUGAUGUAGGGGAGACUGGAAUUCCUGGUGUAGCGGUGAAAUGCGCAGAUAUCAGGAGGAACACCGAUGGCGAAGGCAGGUCUCUGGGCAUUAACUGACGCUGAGGAGCGAAAGCAUGGGGAGCGAACAGGAUUAGAUACCCUGGUAGUCCAUGCCGUAAACGUUGGGCACUAGGUGUGGGGGACAUUCCACGUUUUCCGCGCCGUAGCUAACGCAUUAAGUG
This 799-nucleotide ribosomal RNA is filed under the name Pseudarthrobacter oxydans. Its description in RNAcentral is "bacterial SSU rRNA". It matches the Rfam family "Bacterial small subunit ribosomal RNA", at positions 56 to 866 of the family's 1533-position model. The record is from RNAcentral. Lineage: Bacteria; Bacillati; Actinomycetota; Actinomycetes; Micrococcales; Micrococcaceae.